Molecule: ribosomal RNA, 483 nt
Filed under: uncultured bacterium
Lineage: Bacteria
Description: bacterial SSU rRNA
Rfam family: Bacterial small subunit ribosomal RNA
Source: RNAcentral
CGCUGGCGGCGUGCCUAACACAUGCAAGUCGAACGGGGUAAAGAGCUUCGGUUUUUUACUUAGUGGCGAACGGGUGAGUAACGCGUGAAGAACCUGCCUUUCAGUGGGGGACAACAGUUGGAAACGACUGCUAAUACCGCAUGACACUUCUGAGUGGCAUCACUUAGAAGUCAAAGCUUUAUGUGCUGAAGGAGAAGGAUGGGGAUGCGUCUGAUUAGCUUGUUGGCGGGGUAACGGCCCACCAAGGCGACGAUCAGUAGGGGUUCUGAGAGGAAGGUCCCCCACAUUGGAACUGAGACACGGUCCAAACUCCUACGGGAGGCAGCAGUGAGGAAUAUUGGUCAAUGGGCGAGAGCCUGAACCAGCCAAGUAGCGUGCAGGACGACGGCCCUAUGGGUUGUAAACUGCUUUUAUAAGGGAAUAAAGUGAGUCUCGUGAGACUUUUUGCAUGUACCUUAUGAAUAAGGACCGGCUAAUUCCGUG